GAUGAACGCUGGCGGCGUGCCUAAUACAUGCAAGUCGAGCGAACAGACGAGGAGCUUGCUCCUCUGACGUUAGCGGCGGACGGGUGAGUAACACGUGGAUAACCUACCUAUAAGACUGGGAUAACUUCGGGAAACCGGAGCUAAUACCGGAUAAUAUAUUUAACCGCAUGGUUCAAUAGUGAAAGACGGUUUUGCUGUCACUUAUAGAUAGAUCCGCGCCGCAUUAGCUAGUUGGUAAGGUAACGGCUUACCAAGGCGACGAUGCGUAGCCGACCUGAAAGGGGGAUCGCCCCCACUGGAACUGAGACACGGUCCAGAUUCCUCCGGGAGGCAGCAGUAGGGAAUCUUCCGCAAUGGGCGAAAGCCUGACGGAGCAACGCCGCGUGAGUGAUGAAGGUCUUCGGAUCGUAAACCUCUGUUAUUAGGGAAGAACAAAUGUGUAAGUAACUACGCACGUCUUGACGGUACCUAAUCAGAAAGCCACGGCUAACUACGUG
Molecule: ribosomal RNA, 497 nt
Filed under: uncultured bacterium
Lineage: Bacteria
Description: partial 16S ribosomal RNA
Rfam family: Bacterial small subunit ribosomal RNA
Source: RNAcentral